AAUCAACGCUGGCGGCGUGCCUAACACAUGCAAGUCGAACGCGGUUACCCCGCAAGGGGUGACUGAGUGGCGAACGGGUGAGUAACACGUGGGUGACCUACCUUCGAGUGGGGGAUAACGUCCCGAAAGGGACGCUAAUACCGCAUAACAUCCCAUCUUUGAACAGGUGGAGAUCAAAGCCGGGGAUCGCAAGACCUGGCGCUGGAAGAGGGGCCCGCGUCCGAUUAGCUAGUUGGUGAGGUAACGGCUCACCAAGGCAACGAUCGGUAGCCGGCCUGAGAGGGCGGACGGCCACACUGGGACUGAGACACGGCCCAGACUCCUACGGGAGGCAGCAGUGGGGAAUUGUUCGCAAUGGGCGCAAGCCUGACGACGCAACGCCGCGUGGAGGAUGAAGGUCUUCGGAUUGUAAACUCCUGUUGCCCGGGACGAAACGCUCCGACCUAACACGUCGGAGCCUGACGGUACCGGGUGAGGAAGCCCCGGCUAACUCUGUGCCAGCAGCCGCGGUAAUACAGAGGGGGCAAGCGUUGUUCGGAAUUACUGGGCGUAAAGGGCGCGUAGGCGGCCUGUUAAGUCGGACGUGAAAUCCCCGGGCUCAACCCGGGAACUGCGUCCGAGACUGGCAGGCUUGAAUCCGGGAGAGGGAUGUGGAAUUCCAGGUGUAGCGGUGAAAUGCGUAGAUAUCUGGAGGAACACCGGUGGCGAAGGCGGCAUCCUGGACCGGCAUUGACGCUGAGGCGCGAAAGCCAGGGGAGCAAACGGGAUUAGAUACCCCGGUAGUCCUGGCCCUAAACGAUGAAUGCUUGGUGUGGUGGGUAUCGAUCCCCGCCGUGCCGAAGCUAACGCAUUAAGCAUUCCGCCUGGGGAGUACGGUCGCAAGGCUG
This 887-nucleotide ribosomal RNA is filed under the name uncultured Acidobacteriota bacterium. Its description in RNAcentral is "bacterial SSU rRNA". It matches the Rfam family "Bacterial small subunit ribosomal RNA", at positions 28 to 896 of the family's 1533-position model. Lineage: Bacteria; Pseudomonadati; Acidobacteriota. The record is from RNAcentral.